Molecule: ribosomal RNA, 460 nt
Filed under: uncultured bacterium
Lineage: Bacteria
Description: partial 16S ribosomal RNA
Rfam family: Bacterial small subunit ribosomal RNA
Source: RNAcentral
CCUACGGGUGGCAGCAGUGAGGAAUAUUGGUCAAUGGACGAGAGUCUGAACCAGCCAAGUAGCGUGAAGGAUGACUGCCCUAUGGGUUGUAAACUUCUUUUAUAUGGGAAUAAAACGUUCCACGUGUGGGAUUUUGUAUGUACCAUAUGAAUAAGGAUCGGCUAACUCCGUGCCAGCAGCCGCGGUAAUACGGAGGAUCCGAGCGUUAUCCGGAUUUAUUGGGUUUAAAGGGAGCGUAGGUGGAUUGUUAAGUCAGUUGUGAAAGUUUGCGGCUCAACCGUAAAAGUGCAGUUGAAACUGGCAGUCUUGAGUACAGUAGAGGUGGGCGGAAUUCGUGGUGUAGCGGUGAAAUGCUUAGAGAUCACGAAGAACUCCGAUUGCGAAGGCAGUUCACUGGACUGCAACUGACACUGAGGCUCGAAAGUGUGGGUAUCAAACAGGAUUAGAUACCCGUGUAGUC